Molecule: long non-coding RNA, 1325 nt
Filed under: Heterocephalus glaber (naked mole-rat)
Lineage: Eukaryota; Metazoa; Chordata; Mammalia; Rodentia; Bathyergidae
Description: lncRNA (ENSHGLG00000034787.1)
Source: RNAcentral
CUGCAGGCUGACUGGUGGGCCAUGCUUGAGAGAGUCCUGUCGUGUGCACCCGCCCCGCAUUUCUCACUCCUGACUGAAGGGCCUCCAUGCUACAUUCCGAAUGACAUGUCCACAUUUGCCACGGACAAGAAUGACAGAUGGAGAAAAAUCAUCUUUGACCCUUAAAAGUCAGUCGGUCAUGUUUUAUGAGAUCUAAAAAGGCCAAAGGCUUCAGGAAUCAUUUAAUCAGCACUUUCGAUGAAUUUCCUACAAUUAUCUCAACUCUACUAUUUCUUUGUGUCAGCUCUGUUCCCAAAUUAUUUUUCUUCAUUGUUCACAAGAUAACUGCCAACAACCACUAGGAUCAUUUUUUCUUACUUCACACCUAUGGAGAAAGAAGAACUCCACCCAUGAAACAUAAGUCUUGGGGUUUCAGUUGAUUGGACCACCUGGAACCAAUUCCAGAGCCCAGGAAGAUACCUUUGUGCUGGCUGAUUGGUUUAGACAUGGGUUACCUGAGACAAUCAUCUGCAGGAUUAGUAUAGAAUGACCAACCAGAGGACCUGGGGUGAGGGAAAGAAUAAAAUACAGGACACAGAGGCAAUCACAGCAGAGUGUCUGCUACAGUCCUUUUUCAUGCAUAGAUUCUAGGUUGCUAAUUAAGUUUUCCUCAGUGUCAGAGAUAAGCUCUGUUAAGAGGAAUCUAUUUCCUCUAAGAAUGCCAAGACAGACAUUUAAAGAUGGUUUUAUUUUAUAAAAAGCAUAACAAAAAUGGUGACUCUAAGCUUUUUCUCCAUAGUUUUCUUCCUAAGAAUAUACUACAACCAGGCCAGGGAUGCAGUUCAGUAGCACCACACCUGCCUCAUAAGCACAAGGUCCUGAGUUCGAUCCCCAGAACAACAACAAUAUAUAUAUAUAUACAUGUAUAUCAACCCCCAAAGAAAUGUUUGAUAUGAGUAAUUGAGAAUGAUUUAAAAUUUGUCUUAUAGCUCAACUUCCCUAAUCCUUUCUUUCCAAUUUGUAAAAGCGGUGUAACUUCAUUUGGAAUUCUGUUAUGGAAACCCAAAUAUCUUCCCCUCCACACUGAAUGAUGGAUCAUUAAACCUGUGGAAGACACUGUGUUCCAAGAAGGUGUCUGAAAUAAUGUUCCUUAAGAGUUUUCUCAUGCAUGUCCACAGGCCUCCCAAAACCUGUCAAAGAAGCACUUGUCCUGUCUUUAUAAAACACCCUAAAUUCAUCCACUCAAUCUGGAAAGUGCCAGGCUAAGGGAUUCCAGCAAGUAAGUAUUUCUUCCACGAGUUAAUUAGAAAUAGAGCUCCUUGAGUUUAGAGGUGUAAUUGUAGAAG